This is a long non-coding RNA of Lutra lutra (Eurasian river otter), 677 nucleotides long. RefSeq lists it as uncharacterized. The record is from RefSeq and is a predicted model, not a curated record. The transcript has 3 exons. NCBI's taxonomy places the organism in Eukaryota, Metazoa, Chordata, Mammalia, Carnivora, Mustelidae.
UCACAUGGGCAGGCACACUCUGCGGGUGGGUGGCCUGGGGCAGCAGGGCACCUCUGUCCAUAUGGUGUUUCCUCACAGGAUCUUUGUGCCAUGGCUAUCUCAGAGCAAGUUUCCAAGAGGCAACAGCUCUCAGACCUCAAGAAAGGGUCUGGAGAGUGAUAGUCUGAAGGCUGGCUUCAUUUCUCAACAAUGCUGCAAUGGGCCCAGGUUCCUAUCUUCCUACUCUGUCACCUGUGGGAAUUGUCUCUUCAUCUUCAUGCCUGUCACCUCAUGGUAGCAAGAUGGUUGCUGCAGUUCCAGACAUCAUGGCUACAUUAAAGGCGGAAAGCAGAGAUGGCUUUGAGAGGCAAAGAUGGUUCCAACAAACAUUAUCCAGGAUAUGCUGACUGUACCAGCCUCAUCGCUGCUGGAAAAGGCGCCCCGUCUCAGCGCAUCAGACCUUUAGUAAGAGUUUACGGUCCGUUUUCAAGGUGCAUUACCUUCCACAUAGGUAUUCCGUGGAUUGCAGAGAUGCCAUCCACCGUAGCUAAAGGGCUCCAUCUCCAUCUGCAUAAUUCCCGAUGCUGUCAGUCGGCAUGACAUGUGUGCACUGGGUCUCUCACGGCCAUCUGGCAGCCUCUCUGAAAUCACAGCUUCCCCUGCAGCCCCCAACCCUGUCCUCCAUCAGGAGUGGGGUC